GUGCUUGCUUCGGCAGCACAUAUACUAAAAUUGGAAUGAUACAGAGAAGGUUAGCAUGGCCCCUGCGCAAGGAUAACAUGCAAAUUCAUGAAGCGUUCCAUAUUUUA
This 107-nucleotide small nuclear RNA is filed under the name Ochotona princeps (American pika). Lineage: Eukaryota; Metazoa; Chordata; Mammalia; Lagomorpha; Ochotonidae. The record is from RNAcentral.